GAAGUUACCUGUGUCCCACCCCCGAAGGGUGACGGCAGGGCAGGAAUGGCUGGGAAUGGCUGGGAAGGGAUGCAAGGGUGGUGCUGACCCCACUCUGUGUCUGCACAGCCAGCAGACAGAAAGCUGCUGUCUUCACUCGGAACUGGAUUACAUUUUUAGAACUAAUCCUCAGCUCUCUGACUGAAAAGAUUUGCUAAGCCCCCGCUUGCUUUUUCUUUUAGGUCUGUGCACUCCAAAAGCUUCCUUCCUCCUCCUUCCUCCUGCUUCCCAAAGUCAAUGCAUGGCUGUGGCUCUGAACUUACAGAACCUGACUUUGUUUGUGCCUUGCAUUGUUAAACAGGAUUCACAGACAGGGGGAAACCCAGCACCCAAACAGCUCAGUGCUUCACUGAUCCAUAAAAUCAUUAUAGGCAACAUUUCGGUUUCAACAAGUGCCAAAAAUUCUCCCCCCUCCCCGAAUACAAAAAUAAAGCAGAAACAAAAAUAACAAGGCUAUUAAUCUUUCAUUAAGUUAAAGGGAUGAAAAGGAAUCGCUUAAAGUAUCAUUCCUUACUUGCACCACAAGAUUGGAUGCCCCCUGCCAACUUCAAAGGCUCUAAAAGAAGCUGGUUAAUAUUGUUGGCACUGAACCAGAUUGUGGUUUAUUUUAGUUUUUCUGAUUUUUUUUCAACAAAAGAAAACAUUAAGGGUUGGACACUGAUUGCUGAGGAGCAGCUAUUGAAGGAGGGGGCCUUUGUGCUGCUACCAGUAAUGUGUCAAUUUUCAGACAUGCAAAAGCUGCUCAAAAAAUGGUGUCAGUCUCUGCACGAGGGCUGAAGUCUGUAACACUGCUCCUGUUUGCUCUGUGCUUUCAGCUCAGAUACAAAUCACACUCUCCCUGCGUGCCAGAGCAGUAGCUCUGGUGAAAUAUGGACUUUCUGCAUCCCAGGAGCAGGAACAGAUCCCCCAUAAGCCACAAAGUCCCCCAGCUGGCCCUGCACUAUGGCUGCUCCUCUUCCUUUGCUCCCCAGCCCUGAGGUUUGUGUGAUUGCAGUUGAGCUCAUUGUGCUGAGGGACAGCUCUGUGGGAAGGGCUCUGCCAGCUGCAGACUGUGCCUGGCACUGGGAACAGCCAGGAGCAGCCAGGGCACAGCACGUGCCUGGCACAGGCUGAUGAUGGGCUGAGAGGUGCCUGGCACGGGCUGAUGAUGGGCUGAGAGGUGCCUGGCACGGGUAAUGAUGGGCUGAGAGGUGCCUGGCACGGGUAAUGAUGGGCUGAGAGGUGCCUGGCACGGGUAAUGAUGGGCUGAGAGGUGCCUGGCACAGGUAAUGAUGGGCUGAGAGGUGCCUGGCACAGGUAAUGAUGGGCUGAGAGGUGCCUGGCACGGGUAAUGAUGGGCUGAGAGGUGCCUGGCACAGGUAAUGAUGGGCUGAGAGGUGCCUGGCACAGGUAAUGAUGGGCUGAGUGGUGCCUGGCACAGGUAAUGAUGGGCUGAGAGGUGCCUGGCACGGGUAAUGAUGGGCUGAGAGCUCAGUGUGCCCGGGCUCAGCAGUGCAGCCUCUGCAAGUCCUGCUCAGGUGUGUGGCACAGGCAGAACACGGUGCCUGAACGGGAUUCCCUCCCUUUUCAGAGGCAGGAACAGCUCAGGGCCCAGCACACAGACAGCUCAGCCCUGUCCCUCAGGGCAGAG
This is a long non-coding RNA of Serinus canaria (Common canary), 1669 nucleotides long. RefSeq lists it as uncharacterized. The record is from RefSeq and is a predicted model, not a curated record. The transcript is spliced from 4 exons. NCBI's taxonomy places the organism in Eukaryota, Metazoa, Chordata, Aves, Passeriformes, Fringillidae.